CAGGCUUAACACAUGCAAGUCGAGGGGCAUCAGGAAGAAAGCUUGCUUUCUUUGCUGGCGACCGGCGCACGGGUGAGUAACACGUAUCCAACCUGCCCUUUACUCGGGGAUAGCCUUUCGAAAGAAAGAUUAAUACCCGAUAGCAUAAUGAUUCCGCAUGGUUUCAUUAUUAAAGGAUUCCGGUAAAGGAUGGGGAUGCGUUCCAUUAGGUUGUUGGUGAGGUAACGGCCCACCAAGCCUUCGAUGGAUAGGGGUUCUGAGAGGAAGGUCCCCCACAUUGGAACUGAGACACGGUCCAAACUCCUACGGGAGGCAGCAGUGAGGAAUAUUGGUCAAUGGGCGCUAGCCUGAACCAGCCAAGUAGCGUGAAGGAUGAAGGCUCUAUGGGUCGUAAACUUCUUUUAUAUAAGAAUAAAGUGCAGUAUGUAUACUGUUUUGUAUGUAUUAUAUGAAUAAGGAUCGGCUAACUCCGUGCCAGCAGCCGCGGUAAUACGGAGGAUCCGAGCGUUAUCCGGAUUUAUUGGGUUUAAAGGGAGCGUAGGUGGACUGGUAAGUCAGUUGUGAAAGUUUGCGGCUCAACCGUAAAAUCGCAGUUGAUACUGUCAGUCUUGAGUACAGUAGAGGUGGGCGGAAUUCGUGGUGUAGUGGUGAAAUGCUUAGAUAUCACGAAGAACUCCGAUUGCGAAGGCAGCUCACUGGACUGCAACUGACACUGAUGCUCGAAAGUGUGGGUAUCAAACAGGAUUAGAUACCCUGGUAGUCCACACAGUAAACGAUGAAUACUCGCUGUUUGCGAUAUACAGUAAGCGGCCAAGCGAAAGCAUUAAGUAUUCCACCUGGGGAGUACGCCGGCAACGGUGAAACUCAAAGGAAUUGACGGGGGCCCGCACAAGCGGAGGAACAUGUGGUUUAAUUCGAUGAUACGCGAGGAACCUUACCCGGGCUUAAAUUGCAGUGGAAUGAUGUGGAAACAUGUCAGUGAGCAAUCACCGCUGUGAAGGUGCUGCAUGGUUGUCGUCAGCUCGUGCCGUGAGGUGUCGGCUUAAGUGCCAUAACGAGCGCAACCCUUAUCUUUAGUUACUAACAGGUUAUGCUGAGGACUCUAGAGAGACUGCCGUCGUAAGAUGUGAGGAAGGUGGGGAUGACGUCAAAUCAGCACGGCCCUUACGUCCGGGGCUACACACGUGUUACAAUGGGGGGUACAGAAGGCAGCUAGCGGGUGACCGUAUGCUAAUCCCAAAAUCCUCUCUCAGUUCGGAUCGGAGUCUGCAACCCGACUUCGUGAAGCUGGAUUCGCUAGUAAUCGCGCAUCAGCCACGGCGCGGUGAAUACGUUCCCGGGCCUUGUACACACCGCCCGUCAAGCCAUGGGAGCCGGGGGUACCUGAAGUACGUAACCGCAAGGAUCGUCCUAGGGUAAAACUGGUGACUGGGGCUAA
This 1438-nucleotide ribosomal RNA is filed under the name uncultured organism. RNAcentral's name for it is "16S ribosomal RNA". It matches the Rfam family "Bacterial small subunit ribosomal RNA". The record is from RNAcentral.